AGUGAACGCUGGCGGUAGGCCUAACACAUGCAAGUCGAACGGCAGCACGGUAAGAGCUUGCUCUUACGGGUGGCGAGUGGCGGACGGGUGAGGAAUACAUCGGAAUCUACUUUUUCGUGGGGGAUAACGUAGGGAAACUUACGCUAAUACCGCAUACGACCUACGGGUGAAAGCAGGGGAUCUUCGGACCUUGCGCGAUUGAAUGAGCCGAUGUCGGAUUAGCUAGUUGGCGGGGUAAAGGCCCACCAAGGCGACGAUCCGUAGCUGGUCUGAGAGGAUGAUCAGCCACACUGGAACUGAGACACGGUCCAGACUCCUACGGGAGGCAGCAAUGGGGAAUAUUGGACAAUGGGCGCAAGCCUGAUCCAGCCAUACCGCGUGGGUGAAGAAGGCCUUCGGGUUGUAAAGCCCUUUUGUUGGGAAAGAAAAGCAGCAGGUUAAUACCCCGCUGUUCUGACGGUACCCAAAGAAUAAGCACCGGCUAACUUCGUG
RNAcentral lists this ribosomal RNA (492 nucleotides) under uncultured bacterium. RNAcentral's name for it is "partial 16S ribosomal RNA". It matches the Rfam family "Bacterial small subunit ribosomal RNA", at positions 29 to 507 of the family's 1533-position model. The record is from RNAcentral.